This 696-nucleotide ribosomal RNA is filed under the name Lactobacillus gasseri. RNAcentral describes it as "bacterial SSU rRNA". It matches the Rfam family "Bacterial small subunit ribosomal RNA", at positions 61 to 717 of the family's 1533-position model. Lineage: Bacteria; Bacillati; Bacillota; Bacilli; Lactobacillales; Lactobacillaceae. The record is from RNAcentral.
GUCGAGCGAGCUUGCCUAGAUGAAUUUGGUGCUUGCACCAAAUGAAACUAGAUACAAGCGAGCGGCGGACGGGUGAGUAACACGUGGGUAACCUGCCCAAGAGACUGGGAUAACACCUGGAAACAGAUGCUAAUACCGGAUAACAACACUAGACGCAUGUCUAGAGUUUAAAAGAUGGUUCUGCUAUCACUCUUGGAUGGACCUGCGGUGCAUUAGCUAGUUGGUAAGGUAACGGCUUACCAAGGCAAUGAUGCAUAGCCGAGUUGAGAGACUGAUCGGCCACAUUGGGACUGAGACACGGCCCAAACUCCUACGGGAGGCAGCAGUAGGGAAUCUUCCACAAUGGACGCAAGUCUGAUGGAGCAACGCCGCGUGAGUGAAGAAGGGUUUCGGCUCGUAAAGCUCUGUUGGUAGUGAAGAAAGAUAGAGGUAGUAACUGGCCUUUAUUUGACGGUAAUUGCUUAGAAAGUCACGGCUAACUACGUGCCAGCAGCCGCGGUAAUACGUAGGUGGCAAGCGUUGUCCGGAUUUAUUGGGCGUAAAGCGAGUGCAGGCGGUUCAAUAAGUCUGAUGUGAAAGCCUUCGGCUCAACCGGAGAAUUGCAUCAGAAACUGUUGAACUUGAGUGCAGAAGAGGAGAGUGGAACUCCAUGUGUAGCGGUGGAAUGCGUAGAUAUAUGGAAGAACACCAGUGGCG